RNAcentral lists this ribosomal RNA (497 nucleotides) under uncultured bacterium. RNAcentral describes it as "partial 16S ribosomal RNA". It matches the Rfam family "Bacterial small subunit ribosomal RNA", at positions 28 to 507 of the family's 1533-position model. The record is from RNAcentral.
GAUGAACGCUGGCGGCGUGCCUAAUACAUGCAAGUCGAGCGACCAGACGAGGAGCUUGCUCCUCUGACGUUAGCGGCGGACGGGUGAGUAACACGUGGAUAACCUACCUAUUAGACUGGGAUAACUUCGGGAAACCGGAGCUAAUACCGGAUAAUAUAUUGAACCGCAUGGUUCAAUAGUGAAAGACGGUUUUGCUGUCACUUAUAGAUGGAUCCGCGCCGCAUUAGCUAGUUGGUAAGGUAACGGCUUACCAAGGCGACGAUGCGUAGCCGAGCUGAGAGGAUGAUCGGCCACACUGGAACUGAGACACGGUCCAGACUCCUACGGGAGGCAGCAGUAGGGAAUCUUCCGCAAUGGGCGAAAGCCUGACGGAGCAACGCCGCGUGAGUGAUGAAGGUCUUCGGAUCGUAAAGCUCUGUUAUUAGGGAAGAACAAAUGUGUAAGUAACUAUGCACGUCUUGACGGUACCUAAUCAGAAAGCCACGGCUAACUACGUG